Molecule: ribosomal RNA, 690 nt
Filed under: Ligilactobacillus acidipiscis
Lineage: Bacteria; Bacillati; Bacillota; Bacilli; Lactobacillales; Lactobacillaceae
Description: bacterial SSU rRNA
Rfam family: Bacterial small subunit ribosomal RNA
Source: RNAcentral
AAGUGCGAGUGGCGAACGGGUGAGUAACACGUGGGCAAUCUGCCCAAAAGUGGGGGAUAACACUUGGAAACAGGUGCUAAUACCGCAUCAACCGGCUGACCGCAUGGUCGGCCGGGCAAAGACGGCGUCAGCUGUCGCUUUUGGAUGAGCCCGCGGCGUAUUAACUAGUUGGUAAGGUAACGGCUUACCAAGGUGAUGAUACGUAGCCGAACUGAGAGGUUGAUCGGCCACAUUGGGACUGAGACACGGCCCAAACUCCUACGGGAGGCAGCAGUAGGGAAUCUUCCACAAUGGACGCAAGUCUGAUGGAGCAACGCCGCGUGUAUGAAGAAGGUCUUCGGAUCGUAAAAUACUGUUGUCAGAGAAGAACACGUGAUAGAGUAACUGCUAUGGCGCUGACGGUAUCUGACCAGCAAGUCACGGCUAACUACGUGCCAGCAGCCGCGGUAAUACGUAGGUGGCAAGCGUUGUCCGGAUUUAUUGGGCGUAAAGGGAACGCAGGCGGUCUUUUAAGUCUGAUGUGAAAGCCUUCGGCUUAACCGGAGAAGUGCAUUGGAAACUGGAAGACUUGAGUGCAGAAGAGGAGAGUGGAACUCCAUGUGUAGCGGUGAAAUGCGUAGAUAUAUGGAAGAACACCAGUGGCGAAAGCGGCUCUCUGGUCUGUAACUGACGCUGAGGUUCGAAAGCGUG